This 296-nucleotide unclassified non-coding RNA is filed under the name uncultured Capnodiales. RNAcentral describes it as "sequence contains ITS1". The stretch from base 1 to 105 matches the Rfam family "5.8S ribosomal RNA", at positions 50 to 154 of the family's 154-position model. The record is from RNAcentral. Lineage: Eukaryota; Fungi; Ascomycota; Dothideomycetes; Capnodiales.
GAAAUGCGAUAAGUAAUGUGAAUUGCAGAAUUCAGUGAAUCAUCGAAUCUUUGAACGCACAUUGCGCCCCCUGGUAUUCCGGGGGGCAUGCCUGUUCGAGCGUCAUUUCACCACUCAAGCCUCGCUUGGUAUUGGGCAACGCGGUCCGCCGCGUGCCUCAAAUCGACCGGCUGGGUCUUCUGUCCCCUAAGCGUUGUGGAAACUAUUCGCUAAAUGGGUUCCGGGAGCCUCCGCCGUAAAACAACCCCAUUUCAAAGGUUGACCUCGGAUAAGUUAGGGAUACCCGCUGAACUUAA